This 498-nucleotide ribosomal RNA is filed under the name uncultured bacterium. RNAcentral's name for it is "partial 16S ribosomal RNA". It matches the Rfam family "Bacterial small subunit ribosomal RNA", at positions 28 to 507 of the family's 1533-position model. The record is from RNAcentral.
GACGAACGCUGGCGGCGUGCCUAAUACAUGCAAGUCGAGCGGACGAAUCGAAAGCUUGCUUUUGAUUCGUUAGCGGCGGACGGGUGAGUAACACGUGGGCAACCUGCCCUGUAGACGGGGAUAACACCGAGAAAUCGGUGCUAAUACCGGAUAACACGAAAUGUCGCAUGACGUUUCGUUGAAAGACGGCGCAAGCUGUCGCUACAGGAUGGGCCCGCGGCGCAUUAGCUAGUUGGUGAGGUAACGGCUCACCAAGGCGACGAUGCGUAGCCGACCUGAGAGGGUGAUCGGCCACACUGGGGCUGAGACACGGCCCAGACUCCUACGGGAGGCAGCAGUAAGGAAUCUUCCGCAAUGGACGAAAGUCUGACGGAGCAACGCCGCGUGAGCGAAGAAGGCCCUCGGGUCGUAAAGCUCUGUUGUUAGGGAAGAACAAGUAACGCAGUAACUGGCGUUACCGUGACGGUACCUAACGAGAAAGCCACGGCUAACUACGUG